RNAcentral lists this ribosomal RNA (497 nucleotides) under uncultured bacterium. RNAcentral describes it as "partial 16S ribosomal RNA". It matches the Rfam family "Bacterial small subunit ribosomal RNA", at positions 28 to 507 of the family's 1533-position model. The record is from RNAcentral.
GAUGAACGCUGGCGGCGUGCCUAAUACAUGCAAGUCGAGCGAACAGAUGAGGAGCUUGCUCCUCUGACGUUAGCGGCGGACGGGUGAGUAACACGUGGAUAACCUACCUAUAAGACUGGGAUAACUUCGGGAAACCGGAGCUAAUACCGGAUAAUAUAUUGAACCGCAUGGUUCGAUGGUGAAAGACGGUUUUGCUGUCACUUAUAGAUGGAUCCGCGCCCAAGUGGCUAGUUGGUAAGGUAACGGCUUACCAAGGCAACGGUGCGUAGCCGACCUGAGAGGGUGAUCGGCCACACUGGAACUGAGACACGGUCCAGACUCCUACGGGAGGCAGCAGUAGGGAAUCUUCCGCAAUGGGCGAAAGCCUGACGGAGCAACGCCGCGUGAGUGAUGAAGGUCUUCGGAUCGUAAAACUCUGUUAUUAGGGAAGAACAAAUGUGUAAGUAACUAUGCACGUCUUGACGGUACCUAAUCAGAAAGCCACGGCUAACUACGUG